Molecule: non-coding RNA, 112 nt
Organism: Acanthosepion pharaonis
Lineage: Eukaryota; Metazoa; Mollusca; Cephalopoda; Sepiida; Sepiidae
Source: the annotation of a GenBank genome assembly
UUACGGCCAUAUCACAUUGAAACACCAGUUCUUGUACGGUCACCAAAGUUAAGCAACAUUGAGCCUGGUCAGUACUUAGGUGGGUGACCACUUGGGAAUACCAAGUGUAGUA